AUGGUCAGCUGCGACGACUGCAGCGUCUGGGUGCACACGCGGUGCGCGCGCUACGUCCGGGGCGUGCACACCUCCUUCUCCUGCCACAACUGCCGGCACAAGCGCGCCCCCUCCUCCGCCGACGAGACCGAGGUCGCCGAGCUCCUCGCCGAGCUGCCCACCCACCGCCCGCCCCCGCUCUACCGCAGGUGGGCCGAGGUCCCGCUCCCCGCCCGCGUCCACGUGCACGGCCUCCCCGGCGGCGGGGCCGACGCCUCCCUCUUCCGCGGACCCCCCUCCUCCACCGCCUUCUCCGCCGCCCUCUGGCGCUGCGCCGGCUACGUCCCCAAGAAAUUCGGCUUCCGCUACUGCGAGUUCCCCUCCUGGGCCGAGGACAAGGACAAGAGGGCCGAGGACAAGGACAAGGACGGCGCCGACGCUCUUUUCGCCAUGGCCAGGGAGAAGCGGGAGGAGACGGCGCCAGCUCCAGCGGCCAGAUUAUCCCUCCCGAUUGGGAAUAAGGGAAACAAGAAUGCUCAAACCCUAAGCAAGAAGGCUGAAGGCGCAAAAGAAGUUCCUCCUAGGACAGAUGCUAAGACAAAAGGAGCAUCCAAGAUCGCCGCAGAGGCUGAUACACAGGAUAAUGGGUUUGAGUCGAAAGGGGAUCUUAACAUGCCUGAUAUCAGGCACAAGGAUCAGUUUGCCGAUAUAACCAUGGCCAAUUCUGAUUUUAAAGUAGUUGUUGAAGCUAAUAAGAAGAUGAAGGAAUCCUUGGAACUGAGUGGGGAGAAGAGGAGUUCUGAGGGAGCUCCAAGGAUGCUGAAAAAGGAAGAACCUAAGGAGUCUAUUAAACUGGAGAUCUCCUCUGGAGGUAGAGCUACAUCAGCUGUGGCAGAACAAGAAGCACACUCACGGUUUGUCAAGGCAGAGGUUAGCAUAUGUAAGAAACAAAUUGAAGGAAGCCAUAAUGUGGGCUUACAAUCCGGCAUAGUGAAUGCAGAAAUGGAUGGAGGUACGCGUAUCCAUGCUGGUUCCAUGAAAGUGCACGUGGGUCUUCAGAAACAACCAAAUCAAGCUUCUUCAAAUCUGCAGGAUCGUGAGAGAACAAAGGCUACCCAGCUCAUUAAUGAUGAGCAUAGGAGCGAUAAUCAAAGUCAAGGGAUUGGUGCAGGUUCUUUGACCACUCAAAGAAGUUCAGCCAAGUCUAUCUCUGAUUCAGGCUCUGACCUUCUAAAUUCCGUGACAAAAAGUCAGAUGCACACAAUACCUGAGCAAAACUCAGCUUUAGGUGCUCAGAAAGCUUGCACAACCUCUUCUGGUCCUACACAUUCCCAUGUUGAGAUAUCACACUCUUUAGUUUCAGCAGAACCAUCAUCAGGAGGGAAGACUGGCCGUUUAAUGAAAAAGGAACAGACGAGGUUGGUUACUCCUGCUGAUAGCAAACAUGAUUCUGUGAAGCAUUCUGCUGAGAGUUCCAAAGAAUUUAGUAGGUCCUCUGAGAAAGUUCAACUGAAAGGCUCCCUUUCUUCUGCACCAAAGUCAUCUCAAACAAGCAAAUCAAAUGUGCCUUCAGCCAAACUUAGAGUACCGGCCUCAAAGGAGCAGUCACAAAAGACACCUAUGACAGCUGGCACCACAGCAAGAUCAUUCCAUGGAGAAGUGCCACCAUUGCAUUCUCGGAACAAGGCAAUGCCUUCCAAUUUAUCCCAGAAAAAAGACAAGACCCAUCACCGCUUUGUUCAUGUCACACAAGAGGGCUCUACUAAUUCAGCAUCAACUGAGUUGCGAGCCUCUGAUGCGACAGCUUCAUUGAGUGAUGAACAGCUGGCGUUGUUAUUACAUCAACAAUUAAAUAGCUCCCCAAGAGUACCAAGGGUGACACGUGGCCAACAAACAGGUAGCCAGAUGCUACAUCAAACUGGAGCGUCUGUUUUUUCCAAGCGGUCUUCAGCACAUGGAGGAAGGGAUCAAACACCGAAGCGAAACAAAGAUGACGUCGCAUUGAGAGAUAAUGGUGACAACAAGAGGUCAGGAAAGGUGUCUCUUGUUGAACGAAGGCAUAAAGAUUAUAGCACCGAACGUACUCCUUCUGUGAAGGACUCAUGCAGAUUAGCUGACAAUGCAGAAUUGGAAGAGCAAAAUCAUGGUAUGUGUUCAAACGAAGCUACCACUGGGUUAGAAAAGGACGAUCGGAUGGAUAGCGGUCUUCCGCGCAGUUUACCUGGAUUCAUUGAUGAAAUCAUCAGUAGGAACAGAAAUAUAACAUAUGACGAACUGUGUGAUGCUAUCGGUGAGCAUUGGAGGGAUUUAGUUAAACCCAAAGGAGAAGAUUAUUCAUAUUCCAGCUUUUUGCAUGCUGUCGAUGAUUGUCUCAGGACAAAGAGCGAGUGGGCUCACCUUGUUUACCAGGCUCCAAAGAUGAAUCCGAAUAAACGACGUAAGGUGGAAAGCGACCCUUCAUCGGCCGAUGUAAUGGAAACAGAGAAGACAAGAAACCAGGCUGAAAGAUAUCCGGGAGAAGAGGGUAGUUCCGAGUCGCAACAAGGUCUGCCAAGGGGCAAAAGGAAGGGUCGGAAACGCUCCCGUCAUGAAAUGAAAUCCUUGAGUUCCAAGAAGAGGAGGAAGAUAACGAACAUGGAUUCAUCCUCGGAGGAUGCUGCUCCCCCCUUGUCUAAUUCCAGCAGCAACCCCAUGGUUGAUGAGAGCCAAGAGGAUGAUUCUUCUGGCGGUGAUAGGCAACCUAACUUUGCAGGUUAA
RNAcentral lists this ribosomal RNA (2736 nucleotides) under Triticum aestivum (bread wheat). RNAcentral's name for it is "partial small subunit ribosomal RNA". Lineage: Eukaryota; Viridiplantae; Streptophyta; Magnoliopsida; Poales; Poaceae. The record is from RNAcentral.